GGAUAACCUGCCCUUGGGUCCGGCAUAACCCCGGGAAACUGGGNAUAAUUCNGGAUAACGCACAUAUGCUGGAAUGCUUUAUGCGUCAAAUGGAUUCGUCUGCCCAAGGAUGGGUCUGCGGCCUAUCAGGUAGUAGUGGGUGUAAUGUACCUACUAGCCGACGACGGGUACGGGUUGUGAGAGCAAGAGCCCGGAGAUGGAUUCUGAGACAUGAAUCCAGGCCNUACGGGGCGCAGCAGGCGCGAAAACUUUACAAUGCGGGAAACCGUGAUAAGGGGACACCGAGUGCCAGCGUCAUACGCUGGCUGUCCAGGUGUGUAAAAUACACCUGUUAGCAAGGGCCGGGCAAGACCGGUGCCAGCCGCCGCGGUAACACCGGCGGCCCGAGUGGUGAUCGUGAUUAUUGGGUCUAAAGGGUCCGUAGCCGGUUUGGUCAGUCCUCCGGGAAAUCUGAUAGCUCAACCUGUUAGGCUUUCGGGGGAUACUGCCAGACUUGGAACCGGGAGAGGUAAGAGGUACUACAGGGGUAGGAGUGAAAUCUUGUAAUCCCUGUGGGACCACCUGUGGCGAAGGCGUCUUACCAGAACGGGUUCGACGGUGAGGGACGAAAGCUGGGGGCACGAACCGGAUUAGAUACCCGGGUAGUCCCAGCCGUAAACGAUGCUCGCUAGGUGUCAGGCAUGGCGCGACCGUGUCUGGUGCCGCAGGGAAGCCGUGAAGCGAGCCACCUGGGAAGUACGGCCGCAAGGCUGAAACUUAA
RNAcentral lists this ribosomal RNA (760 nucleotides) under uncultured archaeon. Its description in RNAcentral is "bacterial SSU rRNA". It matches the Rfam family "Archaeal small subunit ribosomal RNA", at positions 102 to 859 of the family's 1478-position model. The record is from RNAcentral.